This 254-nucleotide ribosomal RNA is filed under the name uncultured bacterium. RNAcentral describes it as "partial 16S ribosomal RNA". It matches the Rfam family "Bacterial small subunit ribosomal RNA", at positions 524 to 776 of the family's 1533-position model. The record is from RNAcentral.
CACGUAGGGUGCGAGCGUUGUCCGGAAUUAUUGGGCGUAAAGAGCUCGUAGGCGGUGUGUCGCGUCGGCCGUGAAAACCUGCAGCUUAACUGUGGGCUUGCGGUCGAUACGGGCAUCACUGGAGUUCGGCAGGGGAGACUGGAAUUCCUGGUGUAGCGGUGAAAUGCGCAGAUAUCAGGAGGAACACCAAUGGCGAAGGCAGCUCACUGGGACGGUAUUGACGCUGAGACGCGAAAGCGUGGGGAGCAAACAGG